GAUGAAGAACGCAGCGAAAUGCGAUACUUGGUGUGAAUUGCAGAAUCCCGUGAACCAUCGAGUCUUUGAACGCAAGUUGCGCCCGAAGCCACUAGGCCGAGGGCACGCCUGCCUGGGCGUCACACGUCGUUGCCCCCCACCAUCUACUCCUUCGGGAUUGCGGGGGGCGGAUGAUGGCCUCCCGUGCGCCUAGCCGCGCGGUUGGCAUAAAUACCAAGUCCUCGGCGACGCACGCCACGACAAUCGGUGGUUGCGAAACCUCGGUUACCCGUCGUGUGCGUUCGUCGCGCAUCGAGGGCUCGAAAAAAUGCUCGGCUCCGGCUCGGCUUUCAACGCGACCCCAGGUCAGGCGGGGUUACCCGCUGAAUUUAAGCAUAUCAAUAAGCGGAGGA
RNAcentral lists this unclassified non-coding RNA (392 nucleotides) under soil metagenome. RNAcentral describes it as "partial contains 5.8S ribosomal RNA, internal transcribed spacer 2, and large subunit ribosomal RNA". The stretch from base 1 to 122 matches the Rfam family "5.8S ribosomal RNA", at positions 35 to 154 of the family's 154-position model. The record is from RNAcentral.